CCUACGGGUGGCAGCAGUGAGGAAUAUUGGUCAAUGGACGAGAGUCUGAACCAGCCAAGUAGCGUGAAGGAUGACUGCCCUAUGGGUUGUAAACUUCUUUUAUAUGGGAAUAAAAUGUUCCACGUGUGGGAUUUUGUAUGUACCAUAUGAAUAAGGAUCGGCUAACUCCGUGCCAGCAGCCGCGGUAAUACGGAGGAUCCGAGCGUUAUUCGGAUUUAUUGGGUUUAAAGGGAGCGUAGGUGGAUUGUUAAGUCAGUUGUGAAAGUUUGCGGCUCAACCGUAAAAUUGCAGUUGAAACUGGCAGUCUUGAGUACAGUAGAGGUGGGCGGAAUUCGUGGUGUAGCGGUGAAAUGCUUAGAUAUCACGAAGAACUCCGAUUGCGAAGGCAGUUCACUGGACUGCAACUGACACUGAGGCUCGAAAGUGUGGGUAUCAAACAGGAUUAGAUACCCUUGUAGUC
This 460-nucleotide ribosomal RNA is filed under the name uncultured bacterium. Its description in RNAcentral is "partial 16S ribosomal RNA". It matches the Rfam family "Bacterial small subunit ribosomal RNA", at positions 338 to 795 of the family's 1533-position model. The record is from RNAcentral.